RNAcentral lists this ribosomal RNA (642 nucleotides) under Mucor nidicola. RNAcentral describes it as "eukaryotic LSU rRNA". The stretch from base 218 to 370 matches the Rfam family "5.8S ribosomal RNA". Lineage: Eukaryota; Fungi; Mucoromycota; Mucoromycetes; Mucorales; Mucoraceae. The record is from RNAcentral.
GGAGGGAUCAUUAAAUAAUUUGGAUACGCUUGCGUAUUUCUUAUUUACUGUGAACUGUUUUAUUGUUUGGCGCUUGAGGAAUGCAUUCUGACCAUAGGGAUAGGUCAGUUUGAUGUUAACCGAGCCAAAGUCAGGCUUAGGCCUGGUAUCCUAUUAAUUAUUUACCAAAAGAAUUCAGAAUUAUUAUUGUAACAUAAGCGUAAAAAACUUAUAAAACAACUUUUAACAACGGAUCUCUUGGUUCUCGCAUCGAUGAAGAACGUAGCAAAGUGCGAUAACUAGUGUGAAUUGCAUAUUCAGUGAAUCAUCGAGUCUUUGAACGCAUCUUGCGCUCAAUGGUAUUCCAUUGAGCACGCCUGUUUCAGUAUCAAAAACACCCCACAUUCACAACUUGUUUGUUGAAUGGAAUUGAGAGUUUCGGCGUUAAGCUGAUCUCUUUAAAAAUAUUAGGCCUGAACUUUUGUUCUUUCUGCCUGAACAUUUUUUUAAUAUAAAGGAAUGCUCUAGUAAAAAGACUUCUUCUGGGGCCUCCCAAAUAAAACUUUCUUAAACUUGAUCUGAAAUCAGGUGGGAUUACCCGCUGAACUUAAGCAUAUCAAUAAGCGGAGGAAAAGAAAAUAACAAUGAUUUCCCUAGUAACGG